This 253-nucleotide ribosomal RNA is filed under the name uncultured bacterium. Its description in RNAcentral is "partial 16S ribosomal RNA". It matches the Rfam family "Bacterial small subunit ribosomal RNA", at positions 524 to 776 of the family's 1533-position model. The record is from RNAcentral.
UACGUAGGGGGCAAGCGUUGUCCGGAAUUAUUGGGCGUAAAGAGCGUGUAGGCGGUUUGGUAGGUCCGCUGUGAAAACUCGAGGCUCAACCUCGAGACGCCGGUGGAAACCAUCAGACUAGAGUCCGGAAGAGGAGAGUGGAAUUCCUGGUGUAGCGGUGAAAUGCGCAGAUAUCAGGAAGAACACCCGUGGCUAAGGCGGCUCUCUAGUACGGUACUGACGCUGAGACGCGAAAGCGUGGGGAGCGAACAGG